GGAAAACUCCUCUAGAAGGAUGAAGGGUGGAAUGAUCACUAUGCCCUUCAUAUUUGCAAAUGAGAUAUGUGAGAAAUUGGCAGUGGUUGGGUUUGGUACAAAUAUGGUCAUUUACUUGACAAAUGAACUCCAUCUUCCAUUAACAAAAGCAGCAAAUACACUAACAAAUUUUGGUGGCACUGCAAGUUUGACACCAUUGAUCGGAGCUUUUAUUGCUGAUACUUUUGCUGGAAGAUUUUGGACUAUAACUGUUGCUUCUAUCAUCUACCAAAUUGGCAUGAUCAUAUUAACAUUAUCAGCAAUACUACCACAACUAAGGCCACCAUCAUGCAAAGAUGAUGAAUAUUGCAAAGAAGCAAAUUCAAGUCAAUUAGCCAUUUUAUAUGUGUCAUUACUCUUAACAGCCUUUGGGUCAGGUGGAAUUAGGCCAUGUGUUGUUGCAUUUGGGGCUGACCAAUUUGAUGAAAAUGAUCCAAAUCAAAAAACACAAACAUGGAAAUUCUUUAAUUGGUAUUAUUUUUGUAUGGGAUUUUCAAUGCUUGUGGCUGUCACAGUAAUUGUUUAUAUUCAAGACAAUAUUGGAUGGGGUGUUGGAUUUGGUGUCCCAACAAUUGCUAUGCUUAUAUCAAUUGUUGUUUUUAUAUUUGGAUACCCUUUGUAUAGAAAUUUGGAUCCUGCUGGUAGCCCUUUUACUAGGCUAGUGCAAGUUUGUGUUGCUGCCUACAAAAAGAGGAAAUUGGAUAUGGUAAAUGAUACUAAUUUGCUUUAUCAAAAUCAAGAACUUGAUGCUGAUAUUUCUACUGCUGGCAAGCUUGUCCACACUAAGCAAAUGAAAUUGUUGGACAGAGCAGCAAUAGUAACAGAGGAGGACAACCCUAAAUCUCCGA
This 887-nucleotide unclassified non-coding RNA is filed under the name Hevea brasiliensis (rubber tree). Lineage: Eukaryota; Viridiplantae; Streptophyta; Magnoliopsida; Malpighiales; Euphorbiaceae. The record is from RNAcentral.